Molecule: long non-coding RNA, 1107 nt
Filed under: Anas platyrhynchos platyrhynchos (common mallard)
Lineage: Eukaryota; Metazoa; Chordata; Aves; Anseriformes; Anatidae
Description: lncRNA (ENSAPLG00000020825.1)
Source: RNAcentral
AUGCUCCCAUCCCCGUGGGGACACAUGUGCCACCAUGCUCACAUCCCCAUGGGGACACACGUGCCACCUCGCUCCCUUUCCUAUAGGGACACACGUGCCAGCAUGCUCCUGUCCCCAUGGGGACACGUGUGCCACCAGGCUCCCAUCCCUAUGGGGACACAUGUGCCACCCUGCUCUGAUUCCCUUGGGGACACACGUGCCACCCUUCUUCUAUCCCCAUGGGGACACAAGUGCCACCCUGCUCACAUCCCCAUGGGGACACAAGUGCCACCCUGCUCCCUUUCCUAUAGGGACACAUGUGCCACCAUGCUCCCAUCCCCAUGGGGACACCACAUCCUGCCCUGCUCCCAUCCCCAUGGGUACACACGUGCCACCCUUCUUCUAUCCCAUGGGGACACGCGUGCCACCACGCUCCCAUCCCCACAGGGCCAGGGUGUCCAGCAUGGCCGUGCCACCCCCUCCUGGGGACCACUGCCCCCCCCCUCCUCCCCUUGGGGACCGCCACUCACCGGACAUCGGGGAAGUCGCGCACCAGGACGCCCACCUCCAUCUGCAGCGCCGCCGUGUCCUCCAGCACCAGCAGCUCCCGCAGCCGCGGCACCACCGAAUCCAACCAGGGCGAGGCCGAAUCCUGCGGGCACCGCAGUCUCAGCACCUCUUUUUGGGCUUGGCACCACCCUUGGGUGCCGGGGCGAGGGUGUUGGGGGGGGGGGGGGUCCUGGUGCUCACCAAGCGGCCGAAGAGCUCGCGGAGCUGCCGGGCUUCGUCGCCCAGGCGGGCGGCCACGCGGGCGCGCAUUUUGGCCGAGGUGCAGACCAGGCGCGCCUGCAGCAGCGGCCGCACGUACUCGAUGAGCACCCGCCGGUGCAUCUCGCUCACCAGCACCUGCCACGCACGGGAUCAGCACCCAUGGAUGCCGCCGGCACCCAGCCCGCUGCCCCCAUCGGCACCCACCUGGUAGGGCUCCGGGCGCAGCGAGCGCAGCUUCUGGGUGAAGCUGGUGAUGAGCAUCACGAUGGUGUCGAAGGCGUCCGAGCUCGUCAGCCACUUGCGCUUCAUCAGCUUGUUGAAGUAGGGCUGGGCGAGGGGCGGGCACCCAGUGGGUGA